UUCGGCCAAAUCCACUCCACGUUCAUUUCAUUCCCUGCUGAACAACAUAUUCAACGUCAUGGCAAAAUUAAUUUUAUUGAAGUAAUUUCGACAUUAAAGCUUUAAAGGGUUUAAAAUAUUUGAGCCUCAUUCGUUAAUAAUAAAGCCAUGCUGGUGAAUUAUCUCCUUGUGUGUUUCCUGGCAUUUGUGGAUGCAAACAUGAGAAACAGAAAUUUCACACCAUGCGAACAACGGAUAAAUCAGUGCCCUCGAGGCAGCAUACCCAACUGCCUGGUUAAAGACAGGGUGAACGAACAUUUCG
RNAcentral lists this long non-coding RNA (301 nucleotides) under Dermacentor andersoni. RNAcentral's name for it is "uncharacterized LOC126527713". The record is from RNAcentral. Lineage: Eukaryota; Metazoa; Arthropoda; Arachnida; Ixodida; Ixodidae.